RNAcentral lists this long non-coding RNA (1521 nucleotides) under Strigops habroptila (Kakapo). RNAcentral's name for it is "lncRNA (ENSSHBG00005020228.1)". Lineage: Eukaryota; Metazoa; Chordata; Aves; Psittaciformes; Psittacidae. The record is from RNAcentral.
GAAACUUCUACAUGUUCUUUAAUUUCCCAAGACUGAAAAAGACAAGUGUCACAAAGAGCAUUUCAAGGUAGUUUCGAAAUCUAUAGGAAAGCAGUCAUCUAAUUUUCUGUGUUUCUUCCACAGAAAGGAAGUGCAGUUAUAGCAUGGACAGAAGUAAUCACGCUAGCUUUAUUAUAGCUGGCACAUCUAAAUUAUAAUACAGGCUUAAUGGCAAUAUGCACUUGGAAUUAAUACAUUACAUGGAGAAGUCCGUAUUAUCAUGUCCUCGGUAUUAAAAUUGUUAACACUAGCUAAAGGUGGCAUGGUUAUGUCUACGUAAAACUACACCGAGUCUUCAUGAGCUGCAGGAAUUUACAGUAAAGGAACUGGGGCACCAAAUCAAAUGGGGCCUUUCAACAGCAUCUGGCUAAAUACAGCUAGUCUCAUACAACUCCUGCCUAUUCUGUAUUCCUUGAGAUGCAGCGGAUAACACCACUAAUACCUUCUUUUCUCUAACUUUAUGAUUUCCAUUACAUUUUAUAAUUUACCAUUGCCAAAAAUAAUGUUUCAGCAAUGGUGAAGAGCUUUAUUUGGAGUUUAACUAGUCUACAUCUGUUGUAUGUAAAAGCAUCAGAGUUGGUAAGCCUAAAUACUCAUUGUCAGUGUUAUUUCUGUGCCUGAAGGCAGAAGUGUUCCUAUCUGUAUGCUCAGUAGUAUUUACAAGCAUAAACAUUAACUCAGCAGCUUCACAAACCUGACCACAUAAGCAAGCCUUAAGAAAAAAUAUUCAAUGCAAAUAUUGACUAGAUAUGGAUGGUUCAUAUAAACGGGGGAAAAAAAAUAUGUCUGUUUUCAUAUUGUUAUUUUGGAGCUUCCUCAAAUCAGCAAUGACCCAACCCAAGGAUGUGCCCAUACUCAGCUGGUUUAAGUUUACUGACACACCAGUGUUUCUACUAACUGCAGUUGUGACCCUUUCCUUGGCAUGUGCCAGUGAACCAGAAAAGUCAACAGAAAGUUGCAGACAAAACUACCAGUUAAGCUGGCUUUUCCUGAACCACACUUAGAAAUCUAAGAAUGCCAAGCUAUGUCAGGGGAAGUUUUUCAAGACUGCUGAGCAUAAUCUUACCUUCAAAACAUUAGAGCUGAAGGCUUAACUCAAAGUCUAUGCGAGUUUUACUAAUGGCUUCAAUACAAAAAGAGAAUGUGAACUUCAAGCUGAAACAGACUAAAUGUCACGUUACUUCAUCCAGCUCUGUGAUGGAGAGUCUAAGAUUCUAUGAGCUAAAGGCAUCACCUCAUGAGACACCGGUAGAUGACUUCCCAUCUUUAUGAAUUUCACAAUAGAUACAGUUUAAGUUGGAUGGGACCUUCACUGAAAUCAGGUCAGCACUAAAGGACAGUUAAGAGUUUAAUUAAAAAGAAUGUGUAACUUAGACGAUUCUGUGUCCCUGUCCACCCCCAAGAUCUAUAUACAUUUGGCUUAGUGUUUUACUAUAUCAAACAAUCAUAUUUCGCCCUUAGCCCCAGCAAGACUCAGCCCCA